GGCUUGGUGGUCUAGAGGUAUGAUUCCUUCUUAGGGCUUGUGUGUUUGGUCACGUGACCUGGAGGAGGUCCUGGGUUCGAUUCCCAGCCAAGCCC
Molecule: non-coding RNA, 95 nt
Organism: Fomitopsis serialis
Lineage: Eukaryota; Fungi; Basidiomycota; Agaricomycetes; Polyporales; Fomitopsidaceae
Source: the annotation of a RefSeq genome assembly